RNAcentral lists this ribosomal RNA (1346 nucleotides) under uncultured bacterium. RNAcentral describes it as "bacterial SSU rRNA". It matches the Rfam family "Bacterial small subunit ribosomal RNA", at positions 28 to 1381 of the family's 1533-position model. The record is from RNAcentral.
GACGAACGCUGGCGGCGUGCUUAACACAUGCAAGUCGAACGGAAAGGCCCUGCUUUUGUGGGGUGCUCGAGUGGCGAACGGGUGAGUAACACGUGAGUAACCUGCCCUUGACUUUGGGAUAACUUCAGGAAACUGGGGCUAAUACCGGAUAGGAGCUCCUGCUGCAUGGUGGGGGUUGGAAAGUUUCGGCGGUUGGGGAUGGACUCGCGGCUUAUCAGCUUGUUGGUGGGGUAGUGGCUUACCAAGGCUUUGACGGGUAGCCGGCCUGAGAGGGUGACCGGCCACAUUGGGACUGAGAUACGGCCCAGACUCCUACGGGAGGCAGCAGUGGGGAAUAUUGCACAAUGGGCGGAAGCCUGAUGCAGCAACGCCGCGUGCGGGAUGACGGCCUUCGGGUUGUAAACCGCUUUCGCCUGUGACGAAGCGUGAGUGACGGUAAUGGGUAAAGAAGCACCGGCUAACUACGUGCCAGCAGCCGCGGUGAUACGUAAGGUGCGAGCGUUGUCCGGAUUUAUUGGGCGUAAAAGGCUCGUAGGUGGUUGAUCGCGUCGGAAGUGUAAUCUUGGGGCUUAACCCUGAGCGUGCUUUCGAUACGGGUUGACUUGAGGAAGGUAGGGGAGAAUGGAAUUCCUGGUGGAGCGGUGGAAUGCGCAGAUAUCAGGAGGAACACCAGUGGCGAAGGCGGUUCUCUGGGCCUUUCCUGACGCUGAGGAGCGAAAGCGUGGGGAGCGAACAGGCUUAGAUACCCUGGUAGUCCACGCUGUAAACGGUGGGUACUAGGUGUGGGGUCCAUUCCACGGGUUCCGUGCCGUAGCUAACGCUUUAAGUACCCCGCCUGGGGAGUACGGCCGCAAGGCUAAAACUCAAAGGAAUUGACGGGGCCCCGCACAAGCGGCGGAGCAUGCGGAUUAAUUCGAUGCAACGCGUAGAACCUUACCUGGGUUUGACAUGGAUCGGGAGCGCUCAGAGAUGGGUGUGCCUCUUUUGGGGUCGGUUCACAGGUGGUGCAUGGCUGUCGUCAGCUCGUGUCGUGAGAUGUUGGGUUAAGUCCCGCAACGAGCGCAACCCUUGUUCACUGUUGCCAGCACGUUAUGGUGGGGACUCAGUGGAGACCGCCGGGGUCAACUCGGAGGAAGGUGGGGAUGACGUCAAGUCAUCAUGCCCCUUAUGUCCAGGGCUUCACGCAUGCUACAAUGGCUGGUACAGAGAGUGGCGAGCCUGUGAGGGUGAGCGAAUCUCGGAAAGCCGGUCUCAGUUCGGAUUGGGGUCUGCAACUCGACCUCAUGAAGUCGGAGUCGCUAGUAAUCGCAGAUCAGCAACGCUGCGGUGAAUACGUUCCCGGGGCU